AUCCAGCUGACGAGUGCCAAAUAGGACGAAGUUGUGGUCGUCCUGGAU
Schistosoma haematobium is the source of this 48-nucleotide non-coding RNA. The record is from Rfam. NCBI's taxonomy places the organism in Eukaryota, Metazoa, Platyhelminthes, Trematoda, Strigeidida, Schistosomatidae.